RNAcentral lists this ribosomal RNA (254 nucleotides) under uncultured bacterium. RNAcentral describes it as "partial 16S ribosomal RNA". It matches the Rfam family "Bacterial small subunit ribosomal RNA", at positions 524 to 776 of the family's 1533-position model. The record is from RNAcentral.
UACGUAGGGUGCGAGCGUUGUCCGGAAUUAUUGGGCGUAAAGAGCUCGUAGGCGGCUUGUCGCGUCGGAUGUGAAAGCCCGGGGCUCAACCCCGGGCCUGCAUUCGAUACGGGCAUCACUGGAGUUCGGCAGGGGAGACUGGAAUUCCUGGUGUAGCGGUGAAAUGCGCAGAUAUCAGGAGGAACACCGGUGGCGAAGGCGGGUCUCUGGGCCGAUACUGACGCUGAGGAGCGAAAGCGUGGGGAGCGAACAGG